UGGGGAAUUUUGGACAAUGGGGGAAACCCUGAUCCAGCCAUCCCGCGUGUGCGAUGAAGGCCUUCGGGUUGUAAAGCACUUUUGGCAGGAAAGAAACGUCAUGGGUUAAUACCCCGUGAAACUGACGGUACCUGCAGAAUAAGCACCGGCUAACUACGUGCCAGCAGCCGCGGUAAUACGUAGGGUGCAAGCGUUAAUCGGAAUUACUGGGCGUAAAGCGUGCGCAGGCGGUUCGGAAAGAAAGAUGUGAAAUCCCAGAGCUAAACUUUGGAACUGCAUUUUUAACUACCGGGCUAGAGGGUGUCAGAGGGAGGUGGAAUUCCGCGUGUAGCAGUGAAAUGCGUAGAUAUGCGGAGGAACACCGAUGGCGAAGGCAGCCUCCUGGGAUAACACUGACGCUCAUGCACGAAAGCGUGGGGAGCAAACAGG
RNAcentral lists this ribosomal RNA (429 nucleotides) under Acidobacteriota bacterium. RNAcentral describes it as "Acidobacteria bacterium partial 16S ribosomal RNA". It matches the Rfam family "Bacterial small subunit ribosomal RNA", at positions 355 to 776 of the family's 1533-position model. The record is from RNAcentral. Lineage: Bacteria; Pseudomonadati; Acidobacteriota.